RNAcentral lists this ribosomal RNA (253 nucleotides) under uncultured bacterium. RNAcentral's name for it is "partial 16S ribosomal RNA". It matches the Rfam family "Bacterial small subunit ribosomal RNA", at positions 524 to 776 of the family's 1533-position model. The record is from RNAcentral.
UACGGAGGGUGCAAGCGCUAUCCGGAUUCACUGGGUUUAAAGGGUGCGUAGGUGGGCAGGUAAGUCAGUGGUGAAAUCUCCGAGCUUAACUCGGAAACUGCCGUUGAUACUAUUUGUCUUGAAUAUUGUGGAGGUAAGCGGAAUAUGUCAUGUAGCGGUGAAAUGCUUAGAUAUGACAUAGAACACCAAUUGCGAAGGCAGCUUACUACACAACGAUUGACGCUGAGGCACGAAAGCGUGGGGAUCAAACAGG